GCCCGGGACAGAGUCAGGUUUCCCCCGCAAGGGUGAGGCGCUUAGGCUUUGCGUUCCGGACAGAACUCCCUUCUGUCUGAAUGACCUCGUGGGUCGCCCUGUGGUUCGGCCCUUGGUGAGUUCGAGUGUGUUUGUUCCCGAAUCCCUGACUCGGUGCGUUUGAGACCGUGGGCUUGUCCUUCACGGUGUUGGCCGCAGGCAGCUCGGUCACUGGGCAGACUCAGGGGCAGACGGAAAAUUUCGGUGACCCGGCGACCAUUCUGAUGACACAUUUCUUCUCAGACGCUGGGACCGAGGUGGCUGGCGGGGCGUAGGGCCGGCUGGUGAGGGCGGCCCUUGUGUCCCUGAAGCUCCGCUCGGUGGGGCGGUCGCUCAGCUGUGACUAGAGGGACCGGUUUGGUUUCCAAGCUGGAGACUCCGUGCUCCUGGCGGAAUGUGAAGCUGAACGCCGGGGGCAGGGGCGCAAUGGCUUCUUUCUCUCUGAAAUGAGGGAACAGAAGCCCCCGGCCUCCUCGGGACCAAGGGUUCUGCCUCCGGGGACGCCGCCCAAGGGCUGGAGUCACGGGCCUCUGGGUGGUGACAGAGCAAGACUCCAUGAGCCACGGGAGUGAGGUCACCCCAGGCACAGAAGCACCGCAAGUCGGCAUCACAGUCAGCGCGCUCUGCUGGCUCAGCGGACACUGCGGGGACGGAGCAUUUUCUGCAUUUUCUGAUGGAGGUUUAACCUCAGGCGGGCACCUCCGCGGCCAGUUUCCAGCUCUCGGCCCAGUGAGUGGAUGUGAUGGAGGAGGAGGCCGUGGAGGUGGAUGGGGCCCCGGCUGGAGUGGGACGCUGCUGUCAGGUGGGUCCCAUCUUGUCCGGUCUGAUGCGCAGCUGCCCGGGGCCUCCCUGCCAGGAGCGUUGCUUGAUGCAUGGGACGGCCCUUCCAUCUCGUCUGGGAAGCCUGGGGAGCUUGCGGCUGGAGGAACGGGCUCCUCCUCCCCGCAGGGAAGGCUCCCCGCUGUUCACCCCCUCAGGGCAGCAGAGCUGGUGCUGAGAGCGAAGUUCUUGAAUGUGGAAUCUGGGGGGCUUCCUUGGGUCUCCUUCCAAGAUGGUGGGAGGCAGGGAUGGAUGAUGGCUGUAACCGCUCCGACCUUUUCCCUUUGCUCCCAGGCACCCAUUAAAGGCCUCUGUGUGUGUACAGCAUGUAGAAGGCUUUCCAGCAUAAAUAUCAAGGUAACAUCUCAGUAGAGGCAGAAACCAGUCACUCAGGAUGCCUUUUCUUGGCUUGGAAUUCAACUGUUCCCUCGCACAAGAUGACAGCCAGCAGUUUACAGGCCGCAGAGUCUGGAAGACUUAUUCUGGAAGGAAAAGCCAAGUUGCAACAGGCCUUCCAGCAAGUGAAGGCUACAGCUGGGUGCGGCUGCGCUGGGGGGCAGCCCCUGAGGCGGGGGGCGGACUAGACCACCGGCCCCGCUCUGGGAGACAUGAGGUCCAAGGACAGCCAGCCGGCCUGCCCACCCGCGUCAGCACGGUCCCCGAGGAAUUUGAUCUGCUCUGGGUCCCCACGGCCAGACCUCCAGGCCCAUCCAGACCACCCUGCUCUGGUCAGAGCCACACACUUGGAAAUUAUGAAGAAAUCCAAUUCAGAAAACUGGAAGACUGAGUAGGAGGGGAGUCUCAGGGUGGCCUUCCUGUGGGAGGGACGCCCAGGGACCGAGGCUGUGUUUUCUCUGAGCAGAACAAGACCCCACAAGCCUGAGGCACGUGAUGUCGCCCUGGGCACUCAAGGGAGAGAGGUGCACUGUCACUCGGCUGAGGAAGUCCCUGGAGGCUUGAGGAAAGGGCUGCUGGCGCCUUCGUCUUCAAAGAAAUGUCCUCCAUUGUCGCUUGACGCCUGUAUCUUCUGGUGAGGAAACCGAGGUCUGAGAGCAGAAACCCAAAGGCCGAGGGCCAGAGCUGGUGGGGUGGGGACGCGGCCUCGCAGGGGCUGUGCUCAGUGGCUCCGGCCCCUGCGGGAGGCAGGCUGACGCCGGUCUUUCCCAGCACGAGGAGUGGGGGUUCUCUUUCUCUGCAUCAGCACAGGCCCCCAGCGGCAGGACAGUCAUUUUUGAUACGGUUGCCACUUUCCAGGCCAGAAAAGGCAGCUCAGAGCAGACAUACGAGGCUGAGCCCAGGAAUCAGACCUGCAACCCAGCGCCGAUUCUCACUCUGCACUUCUCCAGGCACCAGGUGCUCUGCGUUAUGCGCUCUGGGAGGCCCAGCCACGCGGGGCCGGGGUGGCCCGAUGAGGGAGCGGAAGGAAGAGGCUCUGCUGCCUUCACCCGGUGCCGACGUCCCCGCUGUGUGUUCUCCUCCUCGUCUCCACCUCGGAAUCAUGCUUUCCCAGCUUGCUUCGGGGGCCUCAGGUACAAGUUCGUGUCCUGGGGCUACCCACCCUUCCCACAGGCACGUUACAGCCCCGGGAGUGUCAGCCCCCACAUCAGACUGAGACAAGGCUGAAAUCCCCUGGAUUCGAGUCCCCAGUGGGGUGGGGGCGGGGCGGCCAGUUCCUGAAGAAGCCGGCUGCUCCCCAGUGUAGUACAUGGACUCGUGGCCGCUGGGCCUUCUCCCCCUUUCUGGGGGUUUGUACACAGAGAUACAUGGACAGAGGGAAGGAGGGGAGUGCUGGGAUGCCUGGGCCCCGCGCGUCCGCCUGACGUCGUGCGUCCGCUGUGAGCUCCUGGAACUCAGGGGAAGGGGGGGGGUUUGGUUCCUGGCCCGGGGCCCCCUCGAGGCGGUGCUCAGCCGUGGCUUCACCCAGCGUCUCCGGCUCCUCCGAGAACCUAUUUCAGAGGCCUUGGUCGUGGGAUCUCAGGACAAGUGGAUUUUAAAGCCAUUUAGGGUGGCCUGAUCCUUCAGUCCUUUACCCAUGGCUGGUGCCAUUAACUCCUCCCUCCGAAAAAGAAAAAAAAAAACCAAAAUGGUUUCUUGAACUAAUAAAGAUGCCAACAUGCUGGAGGAGGACGCUGAAAAUA
Molecule: long non-coding RNA, 2996 nt
Organism: Camelus dromedarius (Arabian camel)
Lineage: Eukaryota; Metazoa; Chordata; Mammalia; Artiodactyla; Camelidae
Exons: 2
Source: RefSeq, a predicted model, not a curated record